AUGGCCUUCUUCUUCUUCCAGUUCCUCCUGCUCCUGCUUCUAGCCGCCGCCCAUGGCGCGGCCCCUGUUCUUGGCUUCACGAGGAGCGACUUCCCGCCGGAAUUCGUCUUCGGGGCCGCCACCUCGGCAUACCAGUAUGAGGGUGCCGUGGCUGAGGAUGGCAGGAGCCCAAGCGUCUGGGACACCUUCACACAAGCAGGGAAAAUGUCGGAUAAAAGCACAGGCGAUGUCGCUGCUGAUGGGUACCACAAGUACAAGGAUGAUAUCAAGCUCAUGGUUGACACUAACCUAGAGGCUUACAGAUUCUCUAUCUCCUGGUCAAGGCUUAUACCAAAUGGGAGGGGGACUGUCAACCCAAAAGGUUUGGAGUACUACAACAACCUUAUAAAUGAGCUAGUGCAACAUGGGAUUCAAGUCCAUGUUAUGCUUUCCCAUCUCGAUUUCCCGCAAGUUUUGGACGAUGAGUAUGGCGGAUGGUUAAGCCCUAAAAUUGUGGAGGAUUUCACAGCAUUUGCGGAAGUGUGCUUUAGGGAGUUUGGAGACAGGGUUUCAUACUGGACAACGAUAGAUGAACCUAAUGUCAGCGCACUAGGAUCUUACGACAAUGCACUAUUUGCCCCGGGACGUUGCUCCAACCCAUUUGGAAUAACAAAUUGUACAGUGGGAAACUCAACUGUGGAACCAUACAUAGCAGCUCAUAACAUGAUACUGGCUCAUGCAUCAACUACCAGACUUUACGGAGAAAAAUAUCGAGCUGCCCAAAAGGGAGGUGUUGGCAUAAAUGUUUACUCUUCUUGGAGUUAUCCUAUGACGAACUCUGAUGUGGAUGUGGAAGCAGCUAAAAGAUACUUAGACUUCGUGUUCGGAUGGAUACUAGAGCCCUUGGUGUCUGGAGAUUACCCAGAUGUGAUGAGGAAAAAUGUUGGGUCUCGACUUCCAUCGUUCACAAAGUCCCAGUCUCAAGUUGUCAAGGGAGCUGUUGAUUUCAUAGGAAUAAACCACUACUAUUCCAUGUAUGUUAAUGACCGUCCUUUAGACAAAGGCACUCGUGACUAUUCAGCAGACAUGUCUCUUUACCAAAGAGCUUCUAAAACAAUCCCAGGAAGUAGCAAGAAUGUCCCAGCAUCUUCUCAAAGUGACCCGGAAGGAUUGCAAUAUGUGCUGCAGUACCUUACGAAAGCCUAUGGGAACCUUCCUAUCUAUGUGCAAGAGAAUGGUGUUGCAUCUAAUGACACUCUCGAUGACACCGAAAGGAUCGAAUACUUGAAGAGCUACAUGGGUAGCACACUGAAGGCAGUAAGGAAUGGAGCAAACGUAAAAGGCUACUUUGUCUGGUCCUUCCUAGACGUCUUCGAGUUCUUUGCAGGGGCCAAGUCACGGUACGGCCUGUACCGUGUCGAUUUUAACGAUGAGGCGCUGCCACGACAAGCGAAGCUCUCUGCUCGAUGGUACUCUGGCUUCCUGAAGAACAAUGACACCUAUGUUCGGAACGAGCUCGAAAGUACAGGAUCGCAUGCUCUGCAAUGA
This 1527-nucleotide ribosomal RNA is filed under the name Triticum aestivum (bread wheat). RNAcentral's name for it is "partial small subunit ribosomal RNA". Lineage: Eukaryota; Viridiplantae; Streptophyta; Magnoliopsida; Poales; Poaceae. The record is from RNAcentral.